Molecule: transfer RNA, 76 nt
Filed under: Lawsonibacter sp.
Lineage: Bacteria; Bacillati; Bacillota; Clostridia; Eubacteriales; Oscillospiraceae
Also listed under: 4 other names
Description: tRNA-Ala
Rfam family: tRNA
About the family: Transfer RNA (tRNA) molecules are approximately 80 nucleotides in length. Their secondary structure includes four short double-helical elements and three loops (D, anti-codon, and T loops).
Source: RNAcentral
GGGCGAUUAGCUCAGCUGGGAGAGCGCAGCGUUCGCAACGCUGAGGUCGUGGGUUCGAUCCCCAUAUCGUCCACCA